This 1764-nucleotide long non-coding RNA is filed under the name Homo sapiens (human). Its description in RNAcentral is "HSALNT0111287". Lineage: Eukaryota; Metazoa; Chordata; Mammalia; Primates; Hominidae. The record is from RNAcentral.
GUCUGUUCCUCCUUCCUAUUCUCACCGCCUCUCUGCCUUUCUAUUCUUCUAUUGUCAUUGCAUGUCCCCUCCUAAUUUUUCAGGUCACUGUUGCAACAACUGCACUUCUUUUCUCAGGGGCUCUCUAUUCCAAUCCAUUCUCUCACUUACACCCAAGAUAGCUGUUAAAAACACAGCUAUGAUCAUAUUUCUCUCUAUGGAAACUCACUAAUGGCUCUUCUUUGUUUGUAAGACAAACUCUAAAAUAAUAUAACUAGUAGGUCUUUUACAGGCUGCACCCAAAACACAUGUGUGGCUUGUUGCCAUCCAUCAUGCCUUUACAUCCCAGCCAUAACAGUCUUCCUACCAUCCUCCAAGAAGGUAAGAUUUUAUUUCUCAAAAUAAAAUCCCCCAAGCUGGUCCUUCCCAUUUACAUUGCCCUGACAUUCUAAUGCCAUUUCGUCUGCUUAAGAAUCUUUUCUUCCCUGCCAGACAAUAUCUUACUCAUGUUUUAGUAUCAAGAUUAAAUAUCUAUUCCUCUGGAAAGGCUUUCUAGCAUUUCUUCCAUCGGACAGUGCUCCCCUCCCCCAGGACAAAUCUCUCUCUCUGCAGAGUCCCCAUGACUCAUGAAUGUAUUCAAUUAUAAGCUGUUAGUAACUAGAUUAUAAUUUUUGCUUGGAGAUUGAAUCAACUUUUAUAGAUGAUAAAUUCCUUAAAGAUAAAGAUCAUUUUCACUUAGUUAUCUAUAGGUCCCUGAAUGCCUGGAACAGUCCCUGGCGGAGUAAAUACUUCAUAUUUGGCAAGAAUACCUGGCGCUUGUUUUCCAGAAGAGCUGCUUCCCAAGUCCACGUGUCAUACAGCACAGCAAAUCUGUCCACAUCUGCAUGGGCCCAUCCCCACUCCUGGCCACUCUUUGGCUGGCUGCCCACUUUGUGACCUGGGAGAAAAGAGGCCCUCUAGCUAUUGAAGGGGAGAUCAUGAGAAACCUUCCAGGGAACCAGAGCACAGAAUGACUGUUAGUUGUUUUUUCAAGUCUAUAUAAACAUUUCAACAGAUCACAAAGAAAACAUUUAUCUCUUCGGUCCUCGCAAGAGAAGUCAAAGGAACUUUUGUUUCUUAUCAAGAGCCUGGACAUCUUUGUCUGUCGUAACUGGAAAGAGCCUGUUGUACUGAAAUCCUGUUAUCAUGGUGGAUUUGAUCUUCAGUGGCCAAACAUGAAGAAUUAAAAGCAUAAUUCUUGACUGAACUGGUGGGUGGGUUGAACUUUAGGAGUACAUGGGCGGUCAUUCCUGGCGCACAUAUCAGUGUGACAUGAGCCCUGGAGCAUGUCGUCCCUCUCAGCCCUGCUCCUUUCUGUCUCCUGGGGCCCAGUGACUGAGGCCUUACGCUAGAACUGUGUAUCAUCCAACUCUCCAUUUAUAAAGGAAACUUCCUGCUGCAACAACAAAAAAAAAAAAGAAAGAAAAGAAAUGUCCCUGGUCAACAAACAGAGUCUGAAUCACAGCAAGAAUUACAACCCGGCCCUGAAAGAGUAGUCACCAUCUCUAUCAGAAGCAGGGCUUGAGCUGGAAACAGAACUGUGUCUCUCCUAAAGUGAAUGCAUUUUAGGGGUGGGGGAAGUGUGCGCUUAUUGAGUUUUCACAUACUAUUGGAUAUGUGUUUAUAUUUUGGGGUGGAGAGUAUUAAAAAGGAGCCCUUAGUGUUUUUUGUUUAUUUAGGCAGUUGAUUUUUUUUUUUUUUUAAAUCUGACUUCUCACCCCUUUCUUUCUCAAUGUAAUGGCUAGC